Molecule: long non-coding RNA, 4002 nt
Organism: Brachypodium distachyon (stiff brome)
Lineage: Eukaryota; Viridiplantae; Streptophyta; Magnoliopsida; Poales; Poaceae
Exons: 3
Source: RefSeq, a predicted model, not a curated record
UGACCCAUGCUUAAGGAGGAGACAUGAACACCUUGGGCGCUUGUGACGUCAAGACCACACGAGGCGGAGGCCACUUGAAGCCAGCACAACGCGGAGGCGACGACCGAAGCACAACAGACGAAACACCAAGACCGCGAGGGAGCAAAGGAGCCAUGGACGUGAUGGGGGCAAGACAUUGGUGUGAAACUCGUUUCCUUGUAUGCAUACCUCGUUGAGCCAAAUGUCCAAAUCAGAGUGUUACAAGUUUACUGUUCGGGAUUAACCCGCCAACAGUUGGCGCCAUCUGUGGAAAUCGACACGAGAAGCUAUGUAAUGAAAUGUUAACACUCCAAGCAAGUGCCUUCAUCAAGUCUAACUCCAAAGGUCCUUUAGGUGCAUCGGAGAUGUCACAUGGCAACAUCCCAUGUCGAGAAGCCUUCCGCAAAGCGCCAUAUCGCAUCAACAGAUCCGUCCGAGGAACUCGAAGGAACUCCAAGAUGAUGUCGAGAAGCAACUGAUUCCCGUGCGCCGGAGACUUGGCGACGGCACAUUGUGUCGAGUAGCGUCUUAUCCUUGUCCGCGGGCAGUGAAUACUCCACGACAACGUGCCGCGCAAAGCAACUCGCUCUGCCGACACCAAAGUCAUAUUGCGGCAGUGUCAGCGCAAUGGGCCGGGCUCGUGCUGAAAUUAAGCCUAGUGUAAGGACACCGUCAACAUAGACAAUGCCAGCAAGGUUGAACUCACACAAAAUAUAGUGAAGUAGAAUAAUUCAUGGCGCAAAUAAAUAUACAAGUAUACGACCAUUAUCUACAAACAACCUCUAGAUGAUACGUACAAAGAAAACUGGCCCCCCACGUGGCUCCAGCCAGCGCCAGGACACCAUCAUAUCGAGCAGUGGCCUGAUGUGCGUACUGCACGCUGAAGUUUAUCCUUAUGUUUAUUUUUAUUUUUUGAUAAGAAAGUUCAUCCUUAUCCUUAGGCCAAGGUCCUAUGCCACGUCAGGUGCUCCAUCCUGCAGUGACACGUUGGUGGCUGCUGAUGCUUCCAGGCCGGCCGCAUGCGAGCGACUCACACGAAGGCACACCUUCUGGCUGAAGCUUCUCGCCAAGCACGCCGCGCUCGACGCCGUCUUGCAUCUAGUCGCGCUAGGCUUGAAGAUACUGGCCGAGCUCUCCUCUGCCAGACGGUCAGUUCCUGCGUCUGUCGCUGCUAGCCUUGCCUGUACCCAAGAACAUCACGACUCGCCCCCGCCUGGUUCCCAUCAGUGCUGGCCCUCUGCGACCGAGCUCGCUCCCGGACCUCCGCCUCCUGCCGCCGCGUACCUGCCGACAACCAAGGGCAUCGAGCUCACAAGAAUCCUGGCGCCUCGCUGUGCCCGUCCUUGCUUGACCACGACGCUCCCGGCGGACCCAGCGUGCCAUGGCCGCUCUGCCUAGCUAGACGUGCUCCGGCGCUGAGCUUCCCGCCGCCGUGACGUCCUCUGCACUCUGCAGGCGUCCUCUGCAGCAGCAUCCCAUCAGGCUCCCCCAAAACUGACGAGGAACGGCGCGCAUGGCGCUCCCGCUGCCUCCACGCAUCGAUUUCAGCGCCCAAGGACACACCAACCUUGGCGACUCCACGGGAAAGAGCGGCCACGCUGGCUACGAUGUCGCCACUCCGUGCAUCGGAGCUUCACCACCGUCGGGGUGCCGCGCGCCGCACACCCGAUCCGGCCUCGCUCCGCUCUGCAUUCCACCGCGCUGCUCUGCUCCCCGAGCUCGCUCGGCGUCUGCGCCACGCGCCCGUCACCGCCAUCUUGUCCGCGCUCCGCAGAAGCCACGCACGGAUGCACCAGCGCGCCUCGACGCAGGACCGCGCCGGAGUCCCCCUCCCCGACCCGCCGCGCUCCACACCCGAUCCUCAAUGCACUCCGCAUGCGCUCGCCCCAUGAGGCCACGCCACGCGCCUAUGACGCACACGCGUUAAGGACCCCGCACCGCGCACCUGCUCGGGGCCACCAGGCCGGAGCCCGUGCCUCGCCGGGCGCCGCUGCUCAACAAAGAAGCCCCGAUUUUUGGUGUGCAGGCCGCAGACCAUGCAUGACCUCUGCACCCAGCCUCGAGCUCGCGGGCGCCGAAGACCGUCCGAACCACCAAGUCCCCUUCCCUGCUCGGCGCCUGUGCCCUUCGCUGGACCAUCCUCAACCUAGCUCGACCACCUGUACAGGAGGAGAGAGCUUGGGAGACGAGCUGGGGAGCAAGCAGGGCGGGGAGAAGAGAGAGCGCAGGGGCAGAAGAUAAGAAGAAAGCUGAGUAGGAAGGAGCAGGUGAGUGAGUGGAUAGGAUCAGCAGCUAGCGGGAUCGAUGGCAGGUAAAAGAAAAAACGUAGCAUUAUCGAUAAUGCUAGAGAUUUUGUCAUCGGGUUGGCAUUGGAUGCAUUUUUCUUCAUAGACUCUCAACGUCAACUUAGAUACUUCAAUGAAGCAAUUGUUGUAGCCUCGCUCAAUACCCCUGGGACGAACAACAAGCUCAGGAUGGCACACAUGACGAGCAGCGCCAAUCGAAUGCGGCAAGGAAGCGAUUGGCACCAAAUCGCAAGGGGUUCAACACCCCGUGACGCAUCAAGCUUACAACAUCCGUCACCGUCAUACGUGAAGCUCAAUCCAUCGUGAACAAAAAGCAAUCGGUGCAACCGCGCUAAGAGUUAACCACUCGAGGCCACACUCCGAGCCUAUGGCGUCACUUAAGCCAUCCAUCGGCUACAAUGGUGAAUCAAUUAACAGAACUCACAGGGGGUUCAACACCCCAAUUAAUUUCUCCCGAACCUCAUGAAGUAAUGGGUAUAAGCUUGCAAGGGGUUCAACACCCCGAGCUACAUUUUGAGCUUUUGAUAUUUAUCUAGCCGCAUUUUACUUUCUUAUUAUAUUAAUAUUUCUUGACAUUACAUUCACCUCUUUGUCGACUUUGGUUUGACACAAUGAACUACGUGAAUCUUCUAUGUUAUGCCUUUUGCAGGAUGAGAUUUAUUCACAACACCUAUCUAUCAUGACAAUGCCAAGUCAAUAAAAUUCCACCAUGAAUGGACCAGGUCUAGCUCACCGGGACGACAUGAGAAGGUAAUACGGCCAUGAGAGGGCUCGGACUAGCUCCCCGAGAAAUCAUGCGCCAGACAUACCCCCUCCAUGGACGGACCCGGCCUAGCUCACUGGGACGACAUGAGCAAAUAAGAUAGCCAUGAGAGGGCUCGGGCUAACUCUCCGAAACAUCAUGUGCCAGACAUACCCCGCCAUGGACGGACCCGGCCUAGCUCACCGGGAUGACAUGAGCAAAAAAGACGGCCAUGAGAAGGCUCGGACUAGCGCCCCGAGAGAUCAUGCGCCAGACAUACCACCUCCAUGGACGGACCCGGCCUAGCUCACCGGGAUGACAUGAGCAAAUAUGAUAGCCAUGGAUAUCCUAAACCAUGCCGACGUCUCACUUCCUAGGCCGGGUCUUAGGUGCGCUUACAAGGAUGAUGCCAGAUAUGAAAUGCGGAAUUGGUUGAUGCAAAACGUUGCAUAGCGUGCGGCUCGAUCGAUGGAGCUUGCAACAUUUGGACUUGUGUGGCAUCAGGAAAUAAAAUUCGAUUAUGCAAGAUGGCAGACAACGAAAGCCGUUUCACCAUGGUCAGUGCCUCAAGAUAUGAAGUACCAACCAAGACCUUUGUCGCAACUACUCCUCUCCCCGGCGCAGCUACUUCACCCCUACCCUUCUUGCCAGACCCCGGCUUCUCUUCCGCCUCUAUGCAGUGACCCACAACUCACACUUUCCAUUGACCACUUCUCUCCAUGAUGCUAUCCAGAGAUAAGUCUGGCCAUAUCACCCCUGAACUACAUUGUUGUUCUACAGUGUUGUUCAGAUGGAGUCCCGGCUGUCGCGGCAAUCUAAUGGCUGCUACUUGAUUUGUGACGCCUGAGGUGUGUGACAAAUAUCAUUUGUGUUGUGGAAGGGGGUCCCCGCCCACCCUGAAUCGACGCAAAUUAUUCUGACUCUUAUAAACCCUAA